UCUUGCUACUCCGUCUUUUCCU
RNAcentral lists this microRNA (22 nucleotides) under Echinococcus granulosus. Its description in RNAcentral is "egr-miR-71-3p". Its record names the gene egr-miR-71-3p. Lineage: Eukaryota; Metazoa; Platyhelminthes; Cestoda; Cyclophyllidea; Taeniidae. The record is from miRBase by way of RNAcentral. RNAcentral also lists the same sequence under 1 other name.